This 285-nucleotide ribosomal RNA is filed under the name Klebsiella pneumoniae. Its description in RNAcentral is "partial 16S ribosomal RNA". It matches the Rfam family "Bacterial small subunit ribosomal RNA", at positions 1259 to 1533 of the family's 1533-position model. Lineage: Bacteria; Pseudomonadati; Pseudomonadota; Gammaproteobacteria; Enterobacterales; Enterobacteriaceae. The record is from RNAcentral.
GAGAGCAAGCGGACCUCAUAAAGUAUGUCGUAGUCCGGAUUGGAGUCUGCAACUCGACUCCAUGAAGUCGGAAUCGCUAGUAAUCGUAGAUCAGAAUGCUACGGUGAAUACGUUCCCGGGCCUUGUACACACCGCCCGUCACACCAUGGGAGUGGGUUGCAAAAGAAGUAGGUAGCUUAACCUUCGGGAGGGCGCUUACCACUUUGUGAUUCAUGACUGGGGUGAAGUCGUAACAAGGUAACCGUAGGGGAACCUGCGGUUGGAUCACCUCCUUACCUUAAAGAA